This 74-nucleotide transfer RNA is filed under the name Candidatus Brennerbacteria bacterium. RNAcentral describes it as "tRNA-Val". It matches the Rfam family "tRNA". From Rfam's summary of the family: Transfer RNA (tRNA) molecules are approximately 80 nucleotides in length. Lineage: Bacteria; Candidatus Brenneribacteriota. The record is from RNAcentral.
GGCCACUUAGCUCAGUUGGCUAGAGCAUUCGGUUUACAUCCGAAGGGUCGCUGGUUCGAGUCCAGCAGUGGCCA